RNAcentral lists this ribosomal RNA (274 nucleotides) under uncultured bacterium. RNAcentral describes it as "partial 16S ribosomal RNA". It matches the Rfam family "Bacterial small subunit ribosomal RNA", at positions 523 to 796 of the family's 1533-position model. The record is from RNAcentral.
AUACGGAGGGUGCAAGCGUUACUCGGAAUCACUGGGCGUAAAGCGCGCGCAGGCGGCUAUUUAAGUUGGAUGUGAAAGCCUACGGCUCAACCGUAGAACUGCAUCCAAAACUAUUUAGCUAGAGUGUGGGAGAGGAAGAUGGAAUUAGUUGUGUAGGGGUAAAAUCCGUAGAGAUAACUAGGAAUACCAAAAGCGAAGGCAAUCUUCUAGAACACUACUGACGCUGAGGCGCGAAAGCGUGGGGAGCAAACGGGAUUAGAUACCCUAGUAGUCC